Molecule: ribosomal RNA, 435 nt
Filed under: uncultured bacterium
Lineage: Bacteria
Description: bacterial SSU rRNA
Rfam family: Bacterial small subunit ribosomal RNA
Source: RNAcentral
GGACCCGCACAAGCGGUGGAGUAUGUGGCUUAAUUCGAUGCAACGCGAAGAACCUUACCUAGGCUUGACAUGCUUGUCGUACUCUCCCGAAAAGGAGAGGUCACUUCGGGUGGACAAUGCACAGGUGCUGCAUGGCCGUCGUCAGCUCGUGUCGUGAGAUGUUUGGUUAAGUCCAGCAACGAGCGCAACCCCUGUGAACUGUUGCCAGCGCGUAAAGGCGGGGACUCUGUUCAGACUGCCCAGAUCAACUGGGAGGAAGGUGGGGACGACGUCAGGUCAGUAUGGCCCUUACGCCUAGGGCUGCACACGUACUACAAUGCCCAGCACAAUGAGAACCGAGACCGCAAGGUGGAGGAAAUCUGCAAAACUGGGCCCAGUUCGGAUUGGAGGCUGCAACUCGCCUCCAUGAAGUCGGAAUCGCUAGUAAUGCCGUAU